UGAAAAGCCCGCUCGCCGGAAGACCAAGGGUUCCUGUCCAACGUUAAUCGGGGCAGGGUGAGUCGACCCCUAAGGCGAGGCCGAAAGGCGUAGUCGAUGGGAAACAGGUUAAUAUUCCUGUACUUGGUGUUACUGCGAAGGGGGGACGGAGAAGGCUAUGUUGGCCGGGCGACGGUUGUCCCGGUUUAAGCGUGUAGGCUGGUUUUCCAGGCAAAUCCGGAAAAUCAAGGCCGAGGCGUGAUGACGAGGCACUACGGUGCUGAAGCAACAAAUGCCCUGCUUCCAGGAAAAGCCUCUAAGCAUCAGGUAACAUCAAAUCGUACCCCAAACCGACACAGGUGGUCAGGUAGAGAAUACCAAGGCGCUUGAGAGAACUCGGGUGAAGGAACUAGGCAAAAUGGUGCCGUAACUUCGGGAGAAGGCACGCUGAUACGUAGGUGAAGCGACUUGCUCGUGGAGCUGAAAUCAGUCGAAGAUACCAGCUGGCUGCAACUGUUUAUUAAAAACACAGCACUGUGCAAACACGAAAGUGGACGUAUACGGUGUGACGCCUGCCCGGUGCCGGAAGGUUAAUUGAUGGGGUUAGCGCAAGCGAAGCUCUUGAUCGAAGCCCCGGUAAACGGCGGCCGUAACUAUAACGGUCCUAAGGUAGCGAAAUUCCUUGUCGGGUAAGUUCCGACCUGCACGAAUGGCGUAAUGAUGGCCAGGCUGUCUCCACCCGAGACUCAGUGAAAUUGAACUCGCUGUGAAGAUGCAGUGUACCCGCGGCAAGACGGAAAGACCCCGUGAACCUUUACUAUAGCUUGACACUGAACAUUGAGCCUUGAUGUGUAGGAUAGGUGGGAGGCUUUGAAGUGUGGACGCCAGUCUGCAUGGAGCCGACCUUGAAAUACCACCCUUUAAUGUUUGAUGUUCUAACGUGGACCCGUGAUCCGGGUUGCGGACAGUGUCUGGUGGGUAGUUUGACUGGGGCGGUCUCCUCCUAAAGAGUAACGGAGGAGCACGAAGGUUGGCUAAUCCUGGUCGGACAUCAGGAGGUUAGUGCAAUGGCAUAAGCCAGCUUGACUGCGAGCGUGACGGCGCGAGCAGGUGCGAAAGCAGGUCAUAGUGAUCCGGUGGUUCUGAAUGGAAGGGCCAUCGCUCAACGGAUAAAAGGUACUCCGGGGAUAACAGGCUGAUACCGCCCAAGAGUUCAUAUCGACGGCGGUGUUUGGCACCUCGAUGUCGGCUCAUCACAUCCUGGGGCUGAAGUAGGUCCCAAGGGUAUGGCUGUUCGCCAUUUAAAGUGGUACGCGAGCUGGGUUUAGAACGUCGUGAGACAGUUCGGUCCCUAUCUGCCGUGGGCGCUGGAGAACUGAGGGGGGCUGCUCCUAGUACGAGAGGACCGGAGUGGACGCAUCACUGGUGUUCGGGUUGUCAUGCCAAUGGCACUGCCCGGUAGCUAAAUGCGGAAGAGAUAAGUGCUGAAAGCAUCUAAGCACGAAACUUGCCCCGAGAUGAGUUCUCCCUGACCCUUUAAGGGUCCUGAAGGAACGUUGAAGACGACGACGUUGAUAGGCCGGGUGUGUAAGCGCAGCGAUGCGUUGAGCUAACCGGUACUAAUGAACCGUGAGGCUUAACCUUACAACGCCGAAGGUGUUU
This 1641-nucleotide ribosomal RNA is filed under the name Shigella flexneri. RNAcentral describes it as "partial 23S ribosomal RNA". It matches the Rfam family "Bacterial large subunit ribosomal RNA", at positions 1322 to 2925 of the family's 2925-position model. The record is from RNAcentral. Lineage: Bacteria; Pseudomonadati; Pseudomonadota; Gammaproteobacteria; Enterobacterales; Enterobacteriaceae.